This 745-nucleotide ribosomal RNA is filed under the name Basedowena oligopleura. RNAcentral's name for it is "partial 16S ribosomal RNA". Lineage: Eukaryota; Metazoa; Mollusca; Gastropoda; Stylommatophora; Camaenidae. The record is from RNAcentral.
CACGAAGCAAGUUGAGCUAAUUUAAUACAUUUAUUAGGGGGCGCAGUAUGUUGCAUAAUACUAAAGUGAUCAUAAAUUAGGAGUGAUAUUCUUUUCAAAUUUUGCGAUAUCUUGAUGCGACCGACAAGUAUAUAGUACGAUUCCAAUCAAUAAGCGCUUAGGUUUAUUGAAAAUAUCAACAAUUAUUAAACAGACUUGUUAGAUAUAAUAAUUAACUACUUCAUUUUAAUAAUACUAUUGUAUAUCACUUAUAGAUAAUAGGACGCUACAAUAAUUACACUACAGUUACUUAAUGUUAUUAUAAGUAAUAAAUAGAUAUUCAUAAUGAACUUGGCAAUUCAUCUUUCAACUGUUUAUCAAAAACAUAGUUAUCAGAAGUUAUUGAUAAUUUGUUCUGCUCAAUGAAUAAUUAAAUAGCCGCAGUACCCUGACUGUGCAAAGGUAGCAUAAUCAUUUGGCUUAUAAUUGAAGUCUUGUAUGAAUGAAACGAUGGGGGAUAACUGUAUCAUAAAUAUUAUAUAAAAUUACCUGAAAAGUGCAAAUGCUUUUUGUAUAAAUAAUAGACGAGAAGACCCUUGAAAUUUUAAGAAGAGUGUCAAUAAGGAUUUUUGUUGGGGCAACAGUGUAACAAGAAACUUACAUUUUAAACAUGAAACGGAAUAGGUUGAUUAAAUUACUCUAGGGAUAACAGCGUAAUAUUGAAAUGUUUGCGACCUCGAUGUUGGAUUAGGAAACAAAAGCUUAG